RNAcentral lists this long non-coding RNA (606 nucleotides) under Glycine max (soybean). RNAcentral describes it as "long non-coding RNA (GMAX_LNC004516)". The record is from RNAcentral. Lineage: Eukaryota; Viridiplantae; Streptophyta; Magnoliopsida; Fabales; Fabaceae.
AUACCUAGGAUCUGAUGGUUAAAAAAUAGCCAAAACUUGCUUGAAAUAUAUUAAACGAUUUGUGGCAGCUUGUAGCCGCCAGAAAUUGAUAUUCUCUUUUCCAGAACUUCUCUGUCGUGGUAAACACACGAAAAUUUCAGAUUCAGCACAAGCAACUCAGCCCCAAAUUUUCAAAUAAAAUCAAGACACCACACACAAAAAGGAUUUGCAGGAGCUUUCGGCCUGACCCAUCACUAGAUUAUGGCCAUCUUCCAUCAUUGUUCGCAUCAACGAGCGGAGUUCGUGGCGACUGGCGAGAGAUUGUCUUACAGCGGCACAGAUCGACCUUGUUUGGAAGCCAAAUCCUCUCUCUCUCGCUCGCUCAAAUCUUCUCUCUCUCGCACAUACAUCAAAUGGGUAGAGGGGAGAAAGGGAAUUGGUUGACGAGUCACUUCCCUCCACGGCGGUGGCAACCUCAAGCGCACACCCUGGCGUUCCUCGACCGCGCCGACAUCUCCAUUCUAGGUUUGGGUAUGAAUCUUGCGACGACGCUGGCGGCCGAGUGUUAGUUCCAGAGAAAAUAAUUGUUUUUAAUUAUUUUUAUAUAUUUUUUAAUUGAUUAAUUAU